Magnolia sinica is the source of this 1308-nucleotide RNA transcript. RefSeq lists it as uncharacterized. NCBI's taxonomy places the organism in Eukaryota, Viridiplantae, Streptophyta, Magnoliopsida, Magnoliales, Magnoliaceae. The record is from RefSeq and is a predicted model, not a curated record. The transcript is spliced from 2 exons.
GAGAUAAAUGCGUCACGGCAUGUAAGAUGAAUGUGAACCACAAGCUAUUUUGUUUCCCUGUUUCAUAAAUUUGUGCCCUGACUAAUGUAAUCACUUUAUAAGUGUAACAAAAAUGGAUGUUCUGACAGCACCUUUCUUCUCAUAUGUUCUAUCAGGCGAGUUCACUCUCCGUGCUUUUCUCAAUGGACACUUAGAUCUUUCUCAAGCUGAAAAUGUUGGAAAACUCAUUUCAUCUAAAUCUGUUGCUGCUGCAGAUGCUGCAUUGGCAGGGAUCCAGCAGAGAGUCUGAUGAGCAGGCUUUGUAUCAUAUUCUGUGAUAGGGUGGGUUUUCUGCUUUAGUCAAAUCAUUGAGAACACUGCACCGAGUUGCUUGCAGAAAUUGAAGUUCAUUUGGAUUUUGAUGAUGAAAUGCCGCCCCUAGAUAUAAAUUUUUUGAUGGACAGCAUAAAUGCUAUGUGGCAAGUUGUGAAGAAGGCAUUGGACACUGCCAGCUAUGAUAAGCUUGUACAAUCUAGAUUGCAGGUAGCUACCACAAAAGAUGUCUAUCAUGCCCAUACCUUUAUUUUUCCCUCAUACGACUCAACACACAAUUAUGAAAAACACGGAUGCCUUCUUUUGAAGUUACAGUGUCGUGUCUUAAUAAUUUCACGUUGAUAAUACUAUCUUUUGCAAAUAUUGGUAUCUGUCUCUGCUUAAACUUGAGAAUUUUAGUUAAGAGGUCAUCCAUGAGUGGAUGGAAGAAUCCCCAAAAUCUCUGGGAAAUGGAAGACCCCAUGGUCAACCAUGAGGUAUUGUUCUACAUACUUUUUUGGGCUAUCAGUUUUGAAAAACGGAGCAUACAGUAGAAACUCCUAGGCCAAAGAUUAUUAUCCUUGGGGUUUCCUUCCUACUUACUGUUGGUUUAUGUAAAAGGAUAAGUUCCGAGCCAGAUUCCAACAGGACCACAAUAAUUGAAGGUUGUCUGCUCUGCUGCAUACUUAAAAGCAUGAUUGCUUGCAACAUGUUGUAUCCUUGUAAUGCUUUUAUCAACGGGUUUUGGCUCUUGAACAACAUCGCCACUUAAUUGCAUAAAACAGGUUGUUGAAUGUAUUUCUUUGCCAAAGAUGAGUCUGUUACCACACCAGUCUAGUCUUUUCCUUAACAACACCCAUAUUCUACUGACAAUUCUUCAUUUCAGGAGCUAAAAGUAUAGCAUAUAAGAGUGUUGAAUUGUAUAGUCAUUUUUUUUUUUUUCCUUUUUUCAUUUGUAUGAAGAAGCAUAUGUGUUGUUGUACAUAUUAGUCACGUUGGCAUGUGUAGACAUCCUAU